Molecule: ribosomal RNA, 428 nt
Filed under: uncultured archaeon
Lineage: Archaea
Description: bacterial SSU rRNA
Rfam family: Archaeal small subunit ribosomal RNA
Source: RNAcentral
UACCAGCUCUCCGAGUGGUAGGGAUGAUUAUUGGGCUUAAAGCGUCCGUAGCCGGCUUAGCAAGUUUCCUGUUAAACUCUGCGACUUAAUCGUUGAAUCGCGGGAAAUACUACUAGGCUAGGAGGCGGGAGAGGUCAACGGUACUUCUGGGGUAGGGGUGAAAUCCUAUAAUCCCGGGAGGACCACCAGUGGCGAAGGCUGUUGACUAGAACGCGCUCGACGGUGAGGGACGAAAGCUGGGGGAGCGAACCGGAUUAGAUACCCGGGUAGUCCCAGCUGUAAACGAUGCGGGCUAGGUGUUGGGAUGGCUACGUGCCAUUUCAGUGCCGCAGGGAAGCCAUUAAGCCCGCCGCCUGGGGAGUACGGCCGCAAGGCUGAAACUUAAAGGAAUUGGCGGGGAGCACCACAAGGCGUGAAGCUUGCGGUUC